GCCUCCUCUCCUGGCCAACCUGCACAAAGUUCCUCAGCUCUCCAUAUGGUUCCAUGUCCUAUCUAUGAUUUUGAGGAGACUGAAGACAGCAGAUGUCUUUCUAACACACUUUACUCCACUGCUCUGCCUCCCUCAAUCCCGUCUGAGAUUUAUUCCAACACUGGAUUAAACACAGUUCCACCUGAUUCACUAGCUGGUGUUGCUCCGCCAACAGUCGAGAAAUUUGAUGAAAGUUCAAUGUAUGCAGCAGUGAGUUUUGACACCAUGUCUAAUUGAUCAGAUCCAAGUGAAUAUGCUACUGUUAACAAAAAUAGAUAGAUAUCACUAGUUAGCCUACUUCAGAAUGCUAAUAAUUCUGAGCUAUUUUUAAUUUGCGUCUAACAUUACAUUAGAGUUUGUUGUGCUAUAGUGCUGAUUGGUCAGUAGGUUUACUUUAACUUUCUAUAACACCAGAGUGGAUUUAAAAAGUAUGCCAUAAACGUGUAUGAAAAUUUGCUGUACAUGUCUGAUUUUACUUUUGUUUAACACAAUAUUAUAAAGUAAGAUUAAGUAUGCAGAGUAGAAUGAUGAAAUAUUCAUGAACUUGUUUAUAUUUCUUUUUUAUAAAAUGGGGAAUAAUAAUGUAAGGGGUAAUAUAGCACUGUAACCGGUAUCGGUAUGGGCUAGGUUCGACCGUCUAGAGAACUUUAUUAAUCCCAGAGGGAAAAUGUUUUGCUUGCUUUGAUUAAUUUACCAAAAAAAGAAGAAAUUAGAUUAGACAAGGAAAAAAAAGAAAGAAAAAUUAAGAAAAAUAGCAAUAAAUAGAAGAUAAUUAAUAAACACAAUAAUAACAAAAUAACACAAUUUACAAUUAAAUAAUCCUCUGGUCUAUACCAGCCCAGUAUUUAACAUUAUUUAUCCUGUUUCUGUGAGAAGCACUUGAUGGACCGG
Long non-coding RNA from Clarias gariepinus (North African catfish), 930 nucleotides. RefSeq lists it as uncharacterized. The record is from RefSeq and is a predicted model, not a curated record. NCBI's taxonomy places the organism in Eukaryota, Metazoa, Chordata, Actinopteri, Siluriformes, Clariidae. The transcript is spliced from 3 exons.